GCUAAAAACAUUCAAAACUGCAUAUCAGCAUGAGUAAAUUAAAAUGAGUUUGAAUGUUGACUUCAGUUUAGGAAAAUAACCCGAAUGAUACUCCAUAUCCUAAGAUACAUUUCUUUUGUAAUGUCACAAACAUACAGAAGAAAAAAUGGCAUCACUUACUACCAGCCUACCAUGCACCACCAGUAAACUAAAAAUAAAUAUAACUCAUAUAUUGCAUGUUGAUUCAAUCCUAUGUACGUGUAACUUAAAACUCACGUAUACGAGAAACAUCUACUUUCUAGUCAGGAAUAUAUAUACCUGUUGCAAGCAUGGGAUCCACAACUAUCAAAGUAAAAACCUUAAGACAAAGUAUUAUUUCCAAGAUUUUAUACCUAAGAACAACAGAAUCAUACAAAAGGUUGGAAAAAGAAUGAGCAUGGAAGAUGAACAGUAAUCAAGUUAUACUUAUUUCUCAUGUAAGAUGAAUUGGUGAAACUAGUAAUCAAGUUAUACUUAUUUCUCAUGUAAGAUGAACAGUAAUCAAGUUAUACUUAUUUCUCAUGUAAGAUGAACAGUAAUCAAGUUAUACUUAUUUCUCUAGACUUAAGUGACAAUAAUCAAGUUAUACUUAUUUCUCAUGUAAGAUGAAUUGGUGAAACUAGUGACAGUUAUCCAACAAAGUAGAAUUACUGAUAUAUGCCAAAACUACAAUGUUAAUGCCUAUAAUUGAGGACAGUUGCCAAGUAGGAAAGGGUUGAUGAACAGUUAUAAGAGAUGCAUUACCUGAAACAAAAUCAAAAUAAAAUCUGAAACAAUUAACAUUCCUGCUAACUGACUGCUACUCUCAUCCCAUAGAGGCACAACUCUCAGCCCCUAACAAAUUAUACCAAACUUAGAGUAAAUAUCAUAAGAAACUCAACACCUAACAGAAAAUAAACCAUAUAAAUGCUCUAGUUGAACAACUAAAUAAAUAGCAUUCAUAAAAGAGAUUUGGAGCAAGUACAAGGAGAUUUAGCAAAAGCAAUUAAAUCUUGUGGAAGCACUCGUUCAAAUCCCACAACUAAAACAUAGAUCUCACCAUGGAUCAUAAGCAGCAAUCUCUUUGAACUUCACACAAACAAGCUCACUGCCAACAAAGCAGAAAAUUGCAUUAGGCACAAGACCAAGAAGCAAAGCAAUUGAUUCAGUAUACAAAGUCGAUCAAAACUAGGAACACCCCUUCAACAUAGAAAAGCAAAUACUUACCGGGGGUUCGAGUCACCAAGGGGGGAAAUGGGAAACCAUUAUUGAUCCUUUUUUAAGAAAAAAAAUUAAAAAAGACUCUAGACAAUGAUUGAGCUAUCGCAAUCUGGAGACAAGCUCCACAUAUAUUCAACCAAUAUAGAACAUAAGGAUUUAUAAAUGUCAUAUCCAUGCUAGUCAAAGCAUAAGAAACUAUAUGAAUCUAGAAACGGAAGUCUAAAUCUUAAUAAUUCCAGCAUAAGUACUACAACUUGUCAAAUAUCAUGUUAUAAGAAGCAAUAGAAUUUGGAGUUAAAAUUAGACGCACAAGAUCUAAUCACUGAACAAACUAAAUAACAUAAACCCAUCAACAUAAUUCUUUGAAAUAUAAACAACUGUAUCAUCAAAUGUUUCUAAAUGCAGACUAGUGAGAGUGCGGGACCUAGCAAAGCCACUUAACUACAAUUUUCAAUCCCUUCAAACAGGGAGUAGAAAAUGAAUUUGGAGUUAAAAUCAGGAGAGUGCAACCCCUUCUCUUGAAUAUUACAUGCUAAAUAAAGAAUAUACACCAUAUUUCUUCAUAUACUAAAUAGUAGGGUGAGUUAUACAUCGUCAAUCAGUCAUUAUACAUCGAAAUACUAGUUCUAAGAUCGUCAAUCAGUCAUUAUACAUCGUCAAUCAGUCAUUAUACAUGGAAAAUUCAAGUAUCAAUAAGAUAAAAACUCAUUCUUGACAUCAUCAAAACGCAUGUAGCAUAAUGAUGCCAGCAACUUCAUUCAAACUGCCAAAUUCUGUUUCAAGUUACAAGAAUUGACCUACCCCUACAAGGAAUAGAAACAGCAUAUACAAUCUUCAAGACUAUAAGACCAUAAGGUCCAUAACUAAACUAGAAGGAUAGACUACAAACUACAAAGACAUAGCAAGUUAGCAACUCAUCAAGAUCAUACAUUAUCUCUAAAAGAACUACUAAUACUUACAUCACGGUAAACCUUAACCUGAGUGUCCAGCUUCAUUCUCUAGUUUUGGAGGUCCUAAUUUUUGCAAGAAAAAGAAAUAAGUUAAGAAAUUACUGAACCCAAAAUCAAGAAACAGAACACAACUCGAUCACAUGUUAAUACAAAUACCAUAUCAAACAAUUCGUAUUAAUUCAGUGAACCAGUCCCAAGUACUUCAUUUACUCAAAGUAGGCUUGUUAAUUUCUUCACUAUGAUCCCCAAAACUAAACGAAUAAUUAAAUUAAACUUGAAAGCUAAAAAAUGCAUCAACGAGCAAAAAAUGGCGUGUAUAAAAGCUUAGCUCUCGGUAGAAAAGCUCCGGAAACUCCUGUCGGAUAGUCUAAAUCGUGUAACCCAUAUUCACAUAAUAAUCCUGCUUCACAAAAAUUAAAGAGAGUAUCGGCGGUGACGCUUAGCCGCCGUCUGACUCGGGAUCGAGGAAGUCCAGGCACGGCGGCGAGGAGCUGCUAUUGAUGCCGGAGGUCGGAGAGGGUGGAGUCUAGAUCUGGGGCCCUAGGGUUUCAGACAGAGGAAUUAGGGAUCUAGGGUUUGGAGGAGAGAGUGGCGCCGCCGCUUGAGAUACAGGCGGUGGUGGCGGCUGGAACCUUUUCAAAUUGAGGCGGUGGUUAGGUGAGAUUUUGAGGGAGAGUGGCGGCGGCUUCUCACUGCAGUUCGCCGGAGAUUGAGAAGUCGGGCGGUGGUGUGAGUUUGUGAAUGCCCGAAUUGAGUCAAAAGAAAGAGAGAUAAGGCGGACGAGGCCGGCUCUCCUCGCCGGAACUUCGGCGGCGGCGGCGGCGGAGCCCUAGCUGGCCGCUCAGCUUGAAAGAGAAGGGGGAGAGAAUUUUCUUUGUGUAAAUUUUUAGGAGAGCUC
This 3066-nucleotide long non-coding RNA is filed under the name Salvia miltiorrhiza (redroot sage). RNAcentral's name for it is "long non-coding RNA (SMIL_LNC007339)". Lineage: Eukaryota; Viridiplantae; Streptophyta; Magnoliopsida; Lamiales; Lamiaceae. The record is from RNAcentral.